AGAGAGUUGACAGAAUGAAUAAUGUAUUUAAUUUGAGAUUAAACUUUUAAGAGUUAAAAUCUCUUACUCUCUU
This 73-nucleotide transfer RNA is filed under the name Babesia gibsoni. RNAcentral's name for it is "tRNA-Ser". It matches the Rfam family "tRNA". Rfam says of the family: Transfer RNA (tRNA) molecules are approximately 80 nucleotides in length. Their secondary structure includes four short double-helical elements and three loops (D, anti-codon, and T loops). Further hydrogen bonds mediate the characteristic L-shaped molecular structure. tRNAs have two regions of fundamental functional importance: the anti-codon, which is responsible for specific mRNA codon recognition, and the 3' end, to which the tRNAs corresponding amino acid is attached (by aminoacyl-tRNA synthetases). tRNAs cope with the degeneracy of the genetic code in two manners: having more than one tRNA (with a specific anti-codon) for a particular amino acid; and 'wobble' base-pairing, i.e. permitting non-standard base-pairing at the 3rd anti-codon position. The record is from RNAcentral. Lineage: Eukaryota; Apicomplexa; Aconoidasida; Piroplasmida; Babesiidae.